GGUGGGGUGGCUGAGUGGUCGAAAGUACCGCACUCGAACUGCGGCAGGGGAGCAAUCCCCUCGUGGGUUCGAAUCCCACCCCCACCGCCA
Molecule: transfer RNA, 90 nt
Filed under: Candidatus Wolfebacteria bacterium
Lineage: Bacteria; Candidatus Wolfeibacteriota
Description: tRNA-Ser
Rfam family: tRNA
About the family: Transfer RNA (tRNA) molecules are approximately 80 nucleotides in length. Their secondary structure includes four short double-helical elements and three loops (D, anti-codon, and T loops). Further hydrogen bonds mediate the characteristic L-shaped molecular structure. tRNAs have two regions of fundamental functional importance: the anti-codon, which is responsible for specific mRNA codon recognition, and the 3' end, to which the tRNAs corresponding amino acid is attached (by aminoacyl-tRNA synthetases). tRNAs cope with the degeneracy of the genetic code in two manners: having more than one tRNA (with a specific anti-codon) for a particular amino acid; and 'wobble' base-pairing, i.e. permitting non-standard base-pairing at the 3rd anti-codon position.
Source: RNAcentral